Hylaeus volcanicus is the source of this 741-nucleotide long non-coding RNA. RefSeq lists it as uncharacterized. The record is from RefSeq and is a predicted model, not a curated record. NCBI's taxonomy places the organism in Eukaryota, Metazoa, Arthropoda, Insecta, Hymenoptera, Colletidae. The transcript is spliced from 3 exons.
AUCGCAGUUUUACGAGUAAAAGAAACGUGGUAGCGCCAGCGCCAGUAUACACGGUGGCGUUCAAUUUUUCAUGUACUUGGCGUCGAGACGCUACCGCGUCUCUAGAUAAGAGUUUGCGGUGGGAAUAAUAGAAAGAUAGAUAAAGAAUAGAUAAAGAAAUAGUAUUUGUUGGUUGUAUCUAGUGAAUCAUACAGCGGGUCAGAGAACAUGAGACAGCACUAUAGCAGUCAUCUAGAAGUGUGUAAUACCUAGACCAAUCGGUACUUUUGGAGGUUAAUCGCUUUUUGUCUUUAAAAAAUUGUGUUUUAUCAGCAGUUAGUUGUAUAUUUAUUGGAUAAUGAUCCGAGCUCCAGGUGUCUUCGGAAAUAUUCAAUUUAACUUUGUCAUAGAUAUCUGGAGAUGAGACGACAAGAUCUAAGUUGGACAGUUCUUUUCUAUAGAAAUCUAUGUGGACGUUAUGCGAAUUAAAGUCUCCAAAGAUAAGGCUUGGGCCAUGAGAGUUUAUAUAGUGAAAAAGCUGAUCCCAUUCUUGUGAGGAGUUUUACAGAGGUUAGGAAUCGUGGAAAAAUUUAAGGAUUUUCUAAAUAAAAAUACUGUUGCGACGGUAUGAAGAUGCCGCACUACAGCUCCGAGUUACAUCGUCGCGACGAUGUGAAGUUGCGGAAACGAGUUCCCGCGCUUCCGGUUGCCAGGAAGCAGCAAACUUUUGAAAUAGAAGAGAGCGCUUUGAGAACUCGAACA